Molecule: ribosomal RNA, 458 nt
Filed under: Streptococcus intermedius
Lineage: Bacteria; Bacillati; Bacillota; Bacilli; Lactobacillales; Streptococcaceae
Description: bacterial SSU rRNA
Rfam family: Bacterial small subunit ribosomal RNA
Source: RNAcentral
GACGAACGCUGGCGGCGUGCCUAAUACAUGCAAGUAGAACGCACAGGAUGCACCGUAGUUUACUACACCGUAUUCUGUGAGUUGCGAACGGGUGAGUAACGCGUAGGUAACCUGCCUGGUAGCGGGGGAUAACUAUUGGAAACGAUAGCUAAUACUGCAUAAGAACAUUUACUGCAUGGUAGAUGUUUAAAAGGUGCAAAUGCAUCACUACCAGAUGGACCUGCGUUGUAUUAGCUAGUAGGUGAGGUAACGGCUCACCUAGGCGACGAUACAUAGCCGACCUGAGAGGGUGAUCGGCCACACUGGGACUGAGACACGGCCCAGACUCCUACGGGAGGCAGCAGUAGGGAAUCUUCGGCAAUGGGGGGAACCCUGACCGAGCAACGCCGCGUGAGUGAAGAAGGUUUUCGGAUCGUAAAGCUCUGUUGUUAAGGAAGAACGAGUGUGAGAAUGGAAAG